GACGAACGCUGGCGGCGUGCUUAACACAUGCAAGUCGAACGGAAAGGCCCUGCUUUUGUGGGGUGCUCGGGUGGCGAACGGGUGAGUAACACGUGAGUAACCUGCCCUUGACUUUGGGAUAACUUCAGGAAACUGGGGCUAAUACCGGAUAGGAGCUCCUGCUGCAUGGUGGGGGUUGGAAAGUUUCGGCGGUUGGGGAUGGACUCGCGGCUUAUCAGCUUGUUGGUGGGGUAGUGGCUUACCAAGGCUUUGACGGGUAGCCGGCCUGAGAGGGUGACCGGCCACAUUGGGACUGAGAUACGGCCCAGACUCCUACGGGAGGCAACAGUGGGGAAUAUUGCACAAUGGGCGGAAGCCUGAUGCAGCAACGCCGCGUGCGGGAUGACGGCCUUCGGGUUGUAAACCGCUUUCGCCUGUGACGAAGCGUGAGUGACGGUAAUGGGUAAAGAAGCACCGGCUAACUACGU
RNAcentral lists this ribosomal RNA (467 nucleotides) under uncultured bacterium. RNAcentral's name for it is "partial 16S ribosomal RNA". It matches the Rfam family "Bacterial small subunit ribosomal RNA", at positions 28 to 506 of the family's 1533-position model. The record is from RNAcentral.